This 78-nucleotide antisense RNA is filed under the name Streptomyces malaysiensis. RNAcentral describes it as "ASpks TB sRNA". It matches the Rfam family "ASpks TB sRNA". Lineage: Bacteria; Bacillati; Actinomycetota; Actinomycetes; Kitasatosporales; Streptomycetaceae. RNAcentral also lists the same sequence under 1 other name. The record is from Rfam by way of RNAcentral.
CUUGAUCGAGCCGAGCCACAGCGGCUGUCGUGCGCCGCCGCGGUCCUGUCCGUACGUCGCCAGUACGGCCUGGGCCUC